CCUACGGGAGGCAGCAGUGAGGAAUAUUGGUCAAUGGACGAGAGCCUGAACCAGCCAAGUAGCGUGAAGGAUGACUGCCCUAUGGUUUGUAAACUUCUUUUAUAUGGGAAUAAAACAGGGUAUGCAUACCCUCUUGUAUGUACCAUAUGAAUAAGGAUCGGCUAACUCCGUGCCAGCAGCCGCGGUAAUACGGAGUAUCCGAGCGUUAUCCGGAUUUAUUGGGUUUAAAGGGUGCGUAGGUGGAUUGUUAAGUCAGUUGUGAAAGUUUGCGGCUCAACCGUAAAAUUGCAGUUGAAACUGGUAGUCUUGAGUACGGUAGAGGUGGGCGGAAUUCGUGGUGUAGCGGUGAAAUGCUUAGAUAUCACGAAGAACACCGAUUGCGAAGGCAGCUUACUAAAAUGUGACUGACAUUGAUGCUCGAAAGUGUGGGUAUCAAACAGGAUUAGAUACCCGAGUAGUC
This 460-nucleotide ribosomal RNA is filed under the name uncultured bacterium. RNAcentral's name for it is "partial 16S ribosomal RNA". It matches the Rfam family "Bacterial small subunit ribosomal RNA", at positions 338 to 795 of the family's 1533-position model. The record is from RNAcentral.